Non-coding RNA from Podarcis muralis (Common wall lizard), 1669 nucleotides. The record is from RefSeq and is a predicted model, not a curated record. Lineage: Eukaryota; Metazoa; Chordata; Lepidosauria; Squamata; Lacertidae.
UAGGGAUGGAAGGACAAAUUGGUUUCUGUUAAAUGCAAACUGACCUAAUUUGCACUUCCUGAAACUAAAUGCUGACUGGAAAGGCAGCUAUCCUUGAAAUUUCUCACUUUGCCAGAUUCUACAAUGUUACUAUCCAGCCCAAAAAUGUGCACAGUAACACACAUUAGGGGCAGUGGGGCAUAUGAAUGCACAGGUGGGUGAGAAUCACAUACAUAAAAUGUGUUAUACCAGGAAAAGUCAAUUGGAAAAAUGCAUAUAUAUUAGGAGACAGGGUCAUUAAGAUGCCGAUGAAUUUUCAUGAGGAUUUGAAAAAGGCAGUGUGUGUGAUGCAGAAUUGUGGCAAACAAGACAUAUUCAUCCACCUGUAUUCUGAGGGUGCUCCAUGAGGGGAUAAUGGUGCUUCCCCAUGGGGCAUCUGGUUGGCCACAGUAAGAACAAGAUGCUGGACCAGAUGGGCCACUGGGUCCUCUUACAUUGUUAGCAAGCACAGGUGAAAUGUGGAAGGGUUGUAGCCCAGCGGUGGAGGAUAUGCACCUUGCCUGCAGAAGGUCCUGUGUUGAAUCCCCAGCAUCUCCUGGUAGGGUUGGGAGAGACUCCCUGCCUGAAACUCUGGAGAGCUGCUGCCAGUCAGUGAAGACAACACUGUGCUAGAUGGUCUUAUUCAGUAUAAAGCCGUUCUUAAAUUGUCAGUUCAUAACCGCAAGACAUGUGUUAAUCACUCUCCACAAGCCAGUGUUACAUGCACUCUUAAAAACAAAUGCGUAACACAGACACCUUUUGAAGGCAAAAGCAGGAAGAGGAAACUGGUAAAAAAAAUGCACAGAAUGAAUAGGAAGUAUCAGGGAGGGGGAGUGCAUUGGUUUCUGCUCCCUACCCUCUUAUCAUACAUCUUUCAGCGUCUUUAUGUAAAUCCAGUGGAGCGAUUUGAAUUGCCAGGUGGCCAAGUUGAAAAAGAGGCAUCCCAGAAUGCUGUUGGCUGGGCCUACGUGUCAUUGCUACCGUCUCAAGCUAAGCUCGCCUUACAGAAAAGGCUUUUGUGCCUGCUUAGAGGCAUUGUUGUCCGGCCACACUCCAGACACUCCCAACUAAGAAUUUAUUAUCAUGCCACCUCACUGUACCUACAAAUCUUGGUCUUUUGAAAAGGGUUGUCUUGUGGCUCAGAUGAUGAGUCUUGGACCUAGGCCAUGGGAUGAGUCUUCUGAGAGCUGCCAUAUUUUAUCAGGUUACAGGUUGCUAAGAUGGACUUUUGACCCUCCUGUGUAAAACUUCCUGAGCAAGAACCAUGGCUUUUCGACUGAUAUGCUGGCAUUUUAAGCUAAAUUUCAUCCACACCUUUGUGACACAUCAAUGAGCAUCACUGGAGAAUGCUGCAACUCCCCACACAUUUUCUGCACAGAGGUGCUUUCAUUCCCCCAGGAUGUUCCCACUGAAGUGGGAGAAAAGAAUUACAUUACAUGCUGGUAUGCCACCCGAAUUCCUGCAAUUUUCUGGGUUGAGGCAGCUGCAACUGGAUCCUCCCCCCCCCAAGGAAUCAAAUGGCACAGAAAGGAGUGUUAAGCAUGUACUGUAUUCUGUUAACAUGUUAUUUAUCUUAUUAUUUAUUUAUUAAAUUUGUAUAAAGAUCUCAGGGUGGUUCACAGCACAAAAAUAAAAAAUAAAAACACAGAAU